GCAGGAGGAGAGACGAUGGAGCUGCGUUACCUGAUUCUAUCAGCCACCACUGAAAAUGACCUUCAGGGACACCCGGCUCAGCGGUCAUAAAAUGGAAAAUGUGGUCAAUUCCUUGAUGACGAGACACCAAUCAGCAAGUCUGAACCUGUGGACAGGCUGAAUCGAUGCUGUCCAGACGUGGAGAUGAAAGCUGUCAAAGCUGGCUGCCAGUGAACAGACGUGCUUGGGGCUGAUGGAGGUGUUUCCAUCUGGAAAAAGCCCACGGAUGACCUCCAAGAUGAUCUUACAGGUCUGUGCUGUCCAGUGGAAGGAACUGAGGCGAUGAUGUACGUUGCCAGGUGUGCUGCCUGGUUAAUGUCCAGUGGGAGGAACCGAAGCAGUGAUGUAUGUUGCCAGGUCUGUGCUGUCCAGUGGAAGGAAGUUUCCUUUCAACCUAAAGGUCAACUGGAUGACGAGCGCUUCUGUCAGCUGUAACGGACAAUUUUUUUUGUUUUUAAAUUUCAUUUUGUUUUUAUCAGGAGAUAAAAACCGAGCAGACCAGCUGCAGACAGUUUUUUUUUUUUUCUCCCCCACAGUGUAAAAAUGCCAACUCAUGACAUCAUUGGUAUCUGAAGAUGUAACUGAAGAAAUAAAAGGGGAAAACUGCAAA
Acanthochromis polyacanthus (spiny chromis) is the source of this 649-nucleotide long non-coding RNA. RefSeq lists it as uncharacterized. Lineage: Eukaryota; Metazoa; Chordata; Actinopteri; Pomacentridae. The transcript is spliced from 7 exons. The record is from RefSeq and is a predicted model, not a curated record.